UACGAAGGGGGCUAGCGUUGUUCGGAAUUACUGGGCGUAGAGCGCGCGCAGGCGGUCUUCCAAGUCAGUGGUGAAAGCCCGGAGCUCAACUCCGGAACUGCCAUUGAAACUGUUGGACUUGAGUACGAGAGAGGUGAGUGGAAUUCCCAGUGUAGAGGUGAAAUUCGUAGAUAUUGGGAAGAACACCGGUGGCGAAGGCGGCUCACUGGCUCAUUACUGACGCUCAGGCGCGACAGCGUGGGGAUCAAACAGG
This 253-nucleotide ribosomal RNA is filed under the name uncultured bacterium. RNAcentral describes it as "partial 16S ribosomal RNA". It matches the Rfam family "Bacterial small subunit ribosomal RNA", at positions 524 to 776 of the family's 1533-position model. The record is from RNAcentral.